UGCCGCUGACGUCAAUAUUGUGCUCGACUGUUUAUUAGAUAAGGCUAUUUUCUGGAAUCAUGUAUCUCUUUGCUGUAUAAAUACCCUGGUACCCAAUAAAGCUUUGCUGGGACACACAGGAGCGUCAGCCCUCCCAGUUCUGUCUGUCUUCUCUUUUUUCUCCAGUCUCACCCCCCUCUCGCCAGGUCCAGUUCGACUCAGCAUGGCUGGACCGUGUCAACUUCCUUGGUUAGGUUUAUUCCUAGGCCUCUACUCCUUGUAAAUAUGCAGGACUGCACAGGAAUCCUUGACUGAGGAGAGUCAAUAUUGUUAUAAGAAAGAAUGAUAAUUCACUCCCUCCUUCAUCAGUCAUUCCAACUAGUCAUGAUUUUCCUUUCUGAUCUGGCAGCUAUGAUACCAGGCAGAGCUGCCUGGGAACACUGUGAGCCAAGUCUGAUCAGAAGUCCCCCAACAGUGGAUUAAUGAUCCAAGAUGAGAACAAAAUGCAACUGAAGGAGUGAAAAAUAAACUGUCAAAUUGCACUGUUGAGAGAGAUCCUAUUUCCAGCGGUUCAGAUGCCAGAAAGGGAGGGUUGAAAAUUAACUCUGUGAGGUGAAUGAAAUGCUAGGGUCCCAAGACUCCAAGGCAGUACCGUAAACCCAAACACUAGCACUAAGCUCCUCUGUAGCCUCUGGUACCAGGAGACCCCCAUCCCAGGAGACAACGGGGGACCUGCCUGCUUUUUGCACGCAUGAAGUAGUGGCUGGUGGAGGGCUGGGUAGGAGUGCUCUUGAAUGGAGAUAAGAGAUUUAGUUCCUCUCAUGGUUCAAUCUGUGUCUCCGUCACCCUGAACGCAAUUUGCUAACCCACCACUGGAGACCAAAGUCUUUGAGCUUCCCUCCUUGUGUAAUUUGUUAGGUAUGUUCCUGCCUGAGAGAGCUCGUGUGGCCUUGUGUUUAGGACUCAGACACAUGUCAGUUUACAUCCUUGUUAACCAUUCGACCUUGGACAUGUCACAAUCUCUCCAAGUUGCAGUUUGCUUAUUUGUAAAACUGGGAUGAAGUUGCCUAGUCCAUAGAACAGUGAGGACCAAUUGAAAUAAUGUGUAUAAUUGGAAGCUAUUAUCCUGUAGUAAGGAAUUUGUAUUCAGGUAUGACUUACAAGAUCUAUGUUUCCAAAGAAGGUGAAAUGGUAGAGUAAACCCACACUACUACAUCUGGGCUAGAAGUGAGGAAGUGAGGAAUUCCAAAGACAAUUCCAUCUGAAUUUAACUCAUUCACUCCAAAAAUCUUUCUUGAGUGUCUACUAUGUACAAGGUGCCAUGCCAGACAUUAGCAUUGCCCUAAAUAUCUUUUGAAUUUAGGAGGGGAGAUAAGGUAUGACCCCACCUUCCGAUCAGCCCUGAGGACAAGCGCAUGUCUGCCUAGAGGGAGAUCAGUGAUGCUGACAUCUCUCCGGCAAGUUGCCUAAGUCCAUCUGCCUGUCUCUUUCCUGCUACUAAAGAUCCCCAAGGCAAGAACUUCCAUAGCUGCCGUUGGUCGCCAAUUCUGUGUCUUAAAACAGUAACAGGCGAUUCUUGGUGUCUAACUGUAACAUCUUGUGCUGUAGUUAAAUCUGAUCCCUCCAGUCUGUUCUCAGAGAAGAUGGAGCAGCUGGCCACCAUCCUCUGCAUAAUAACCCUUUAGGGGACUGGAGACUGCUACUUAGUCCCCUUUGGGCUCGAGGUAUGACUGCCCACUGUGGACUAAUUAAGAUACCAGGAUGCAGACACUGUACUUCAUUUUCAUGACAAAUGAGUUUCUAUGGGAACUGAGUGACACAGAGGACAGUGUAGGUUGCCUUUGGCCGCAGACAAGAUGUGGAGGCAGGUGGCUGCCAGGUGGCCAGGGAUUUUCUUCCAGGGACGAUAAACAGGCUAUGGUGCGCCCUGAGAGCACAUCAUCCCAUCAGAGCCCACAGAAGUUCAUCCUGGAGACAACGGACGUUUGCACCCAUCCAGACAGUCACUUUCGAAAGGAGAAGCAGGUGGUGAAAUAAGGAUUAAAGAGAAAUCAGUAUGAUGUCUUAGUUCGAUCCUAAUUUGCUGGUGUACUAACAGUCGUUU
Long non-coding RNA from Manis pentadactyla (Chinese pangolin), 2083 nucleotides. RefSeq lists it as uncharacterized. The transcript is spliced from 3 exons. The record is from RefSeq and is a predicted model, not a curated record. NCBI's taxonomy places the organism in Eukaryota, Metazoa, Chordata, Mammalia, Pholidota, Manidae.